This 106-nucleotide small nucleolar RNA is filed under the name Phaseolus vulgaris (common bean). RNAcentral's name for it is "Plant small nucleolar RNA R71". It matches the Rfam family "Plant small nucleolar RNA R71". Rfam says of the family: R71 is a member of the C/D box family of snoRNAs containing the C (UGAUGA) and D (CUGA) box motifs. Multiple nearly identical copies of this snoRNA have been identified in Arabidopsis, and it is thought to function as a 2'-O-ribose methylation guide for 18S ribosomal RNA. Lineage: Eukaryota; Viridiplantae; Streptophyta; Magnoliopsida; Fabales; Fabaceae. The record is from Rfam by way of RNAcentral.
AACCCAUGAUUUGGGGAUUUUCUCAAUAUCAUCUUAAAUAUUUCCUAUGUCUCACGGAAGACUUCAUUUGCCCCUUGUCUGAACAUAGAGAUUUCAGACCUGGCUU